Molecule: ribosomal RNA, 467 nt
Filed under: uncultured bacterium
Lineage: Bacteria
Description: bacterial SSU rRNA
Rfam family: Bacterial small subunit ribosomal RNA
Source: RNAcentral
CGCGGCCUAUCAGCUUGUUGGUGAGGUAAUGGCUCACCAAGGCUUCGACGGGUAGCCGGCCUGAGAGAGCGACCGGCCACACUGGGACUGAGAUACGGCCCAGACUCCUACGGGAGGCAGCAGUGGGGAAUAUUGCACAAUGGGCGCAAGCCUGAUGCAGCAACGCCGCGUGCGGGAUGACGGCCUUCGGGUUGUAAACCGCUUUCAGUAGGGACGAAGCCAACGUGACGGUACCUACAGAAGAAGGACCGGCUAACUACGUGCCAGCAGCCGCGGUGAUACGUAGGGUCCGAGCGUUGUCCGGAAUUAUUGGGCGUAAAGGGCUUGUGGGCGGUCCGUCGCGUCAGGAGUGAAAACUCGGGGCUUAACCCCGAGCCUGCUUUUGAUACGGGCGGACUAGAGGGAUGCAGGGGAGAACGGAAUUCCUGGUGGAGCGGUGGAAUGCGCGGAUAUCAGGAGGAAUCUCU